RNAcentral lists this long non-coding RNA (1357 nucleotides) under Mus musculus (house mouse). RNAcentral describes it as "predicted gene 10505, transcript variant 9 (Gm10505)". Lineage: Eukaryota; Metazoa; Chordata; Mammalia; Rodentia; Muridae. The record is from RNAcentral.
GGAGUUUGUCGGCAGCAACAGGCACGCAUGGGGCCUGCUGGGACUCGUCUCCUGCUAUGCUUCAGCUCCUGCCCAAUCACUUACCUGUGCCAGGAGAAGCCUCUGGACAUGCCUGGGCAGCCUCUGGACAUGCACUGCUCCCAUUCCUCGCUGAGAGGGCAUCUCCCCGAGUGCCUCUCCAUCCCAGUAGACUCUCCAGAUGUGCCCAGUCCUCAACUGGUGUGGCCUCACCAGAGAGACUCAGACCAAACAGGCCUCCACAGCCUCUCUCUAGACACUUUCUGGGAAACCACAGUGGAAUACAAAAGGGCACCAACUGUUCUGAUCUCUUGAAGAGCUCCUCAGGCAACCUUCUGUUUCUAGCAAGAUGAUACACCCAAGCCUUGAUGACAAGGCUUGGCUCUCAACCUCCUUGCUCCCCACCUCCUGUGAAAUACACAAAGAAAUUCAGUGAUCAUCGGGGAUGCUCUGGUCCAAACACUACCUGCCAGCCAGACGCAGGAGAUGGAUGGCUCAGCAGUAAUCGUGCUGCUUGAGCUUGGUGUCUAAUGGGGACAGUAGUGACAGGAAGUUCACAGGGACUGGAAGACAUGAGUUCUCUGAGGGAAAGGAAGGUGAAGCCUGGUGCUUAGGACCCUCAGGAGACCAUAGGAUGUGAGAAGGCUCAAGACACCCAGAGGUGGGGUCAGAAACAGGGCAAAGGAGACCAAGCAUGGGAGAGCUGCAGUGGACGUGUACAGACAGGAGAAGCAGGCCCUAAAGAAUCCCUGAGGCGGCAGAGAGGCUGGGCUGUGGAACUUUUUAAUUACUUUGCAUUAGGGGACUGUAGAGACCCAGAAGCCCACCCUUCCCCUCCCCUCAUCAGCUUAGCCCCAACAUAUGGUGGCUACCAAAGUAGUUAAAUCGGCUCUUGGUAGAAAAGGAAAGAGAUUCCUCCCAGGCUCUUCCCAGGGUCCACGGCCACACUCCAGGAGGGCUCAACUCCAGGGCAAGGCAGCUGGGACAGCAGGCAGCUGAAGGAGGACUAUUACUGCACCUUAGGGAAGAGUGCAGUGGCGAGUGGGGAGGACUCUGCUGGGACCCGGGGGUCAUGUGCAUUCCCAUUUAGUUGAGCUCUGCUUAAUCCGGGCCUAGGCUCACAGUAAUGGGGAACGAGGAGAGGCUCCCAUCAGAGACCAAGAAGAUGACAGACUCUCUGUAAAGGCUGUCAGAGGGGUCUGCAUGACCAACCACACCUGCUCCUGUUCCUUUGGGGCUCUUGUGACCUCCCUGUCUUCUUGUGAGAUCUUAUGUUCCUCCAACCCUGAGAGCUACAAACCAAUCUCCGGAAUAAAAAAAUCUGUCCCUCGUGCUGUCA